UAUGUUCAGGUUCUGCCCAGUGCAGAAGAGACCUUCCUCCUGGCUGCCUGCAGAAGAUAGUCUCCUUCUGGCUUCUUUUGGAUCAAGAUGUAGAACUCUCAGCUCCUCCUCCAGCACCAUAUCUGCCUGAAUGCUGCCGUGCUCCUGCCUUGAUGAUAAUGAACUGAACCUCUGAACCUGUGAAUUCAGGUCUAAGUCCUUCCUGUUGUGUCUGUAUCCAACUGACGAGCCUGUGUGUGACAAGCUGAUGGAUGGGGGCACUUUGUGCUGAACACCAACCUCAUUAAGACGGGAAAUGAGAGAGACCAGGCACGAGCAGGCCUCUGGAAGAACAAUAGAGAAAUCCUCUUCCUUGAAAGUGGCAGG
RNAcentral lists this long non-coding RNA (366 nucleotides) under Mus musculus (house mouse). RNAcentral describes it as "predicted gene, 49617". Lineage: Eukaryota; Metazoa; Chordata; Mammalia; Rodentia; Muridae. The record is from RNAcentral.